Molecule: ribosomal RNA, 460 nt
Filed under: uncultured bacterium
Lineage: Bacteria
Description: partial 16S ribosomal RNA
Rfam family: Bacterial small subunit ribosomal RNA
Source: RNAcentral
CCUACGGGUGGCAUCAGUGAGGAAUAUUGGUCAAUGGGCUUACGCCUGAACCCGCCAAGUCGCGUGAGGGCAGACUGCCCUAUGGGUUGUAAACCUCUUUUGUCAGGGAGCAAUUUGCGCUACGUGUAGCGUUCUCUAUAGUACCUGAAGAAAAAGCAUCGGCUAACUCCGUGCCAGCAGCCGCGGUAAUACGGAGGAUGCGAGCGUUCUCCGGUUUUAUUGGGUUUAAAGGGUGCGUAGGCGGAAUGCCAAGUCAGCGGUAAAAUCGCGGGGCUCAACCUCGCUCCGCCGUUGAAACUGGCGUUCUUGAGUGGGCGAGAAGUAGGCGAAAUGCGUGGUGUAGCGGUGAAAUGCAUAGAUAUCACGCAGAACUCCGAUUGCGAAGGCAGCAGACCGGCGCCCAACUGACGCUGAAGCACGAAAGCGUGGGUAUCGAACAGGAUUAGAUACCCUAGUAGUC